Molecule: ribosomal RNA, 273 nt
Filed under: uncultured Halanaerobium sp.
Lineage: Bacteria; Bacillati; Bacillota; Clostridia; Halanaerobiales; Halanaerobiaceae
Description: partial 16S ribosomal RNA
Rfam family: Bacterial small subunit ribosomal RNA
Source: RNAcentral
GGGGAAUCUUCCACAAUGGGCGAAAGCCUGAUGGAGCAACGCCGCGUGAAUGAAGAAGGCCUUAGGGUCGUAAAGUUCUGUCCUUACGGAAGAACCGUGGGUAUAGAAAAUGAUACCCACCUGACGGUACCUUUGGAGGAAGCACUGGCUAACUACGUGCCAGCAGCCGCGGUAAUACGUAGAGUGCAAGCGUUGUCCGGAAUUAUUGGGCGUAAAGGGUACGCAGGCGGAUACUCAAGUCAAGCGUCAAAGGUGUCGGCUUACCCGACAGAC